AUUCUUUUAGUAUUAAAAAGUACGGUUGACUUCCAAUCAGCUAGUUUCGGUAAACCCCGAAAAAGAAUA
Molecule: transfer RNA, 69 nt
Filed under: Rhinolophus ferrumequinum (greater horseshoe bat)
Lineage: Eukaryota; Metazoa; Chordata; Mammalia; Chiroptera; Rhinolophidae
Also listed under: 3 other names
Description: tRNA-Gly
Source: RNAcentral